UACGGGGGGAGCAAGCGUUGUUCGGAUUUACUGGGCGUAAAGGGCGCGUAGGCGGCGUGACAAGUCAGUUGUGAAAUCUCCGGGCUUAACUCGGAGCGGUCAAGUGAUACUGUCGUGCUAGAGUGCGGAAGGGGCUACUGGAAUUCUCGGUGUAGCGGUGAAAUGCGUAGAUAUCGAGAGGAACACCUGCGGCGAAGGCGGGUAGCUGGGCCGACACUGACGCUGAUGCGCGAAAGCCAGGGGAGCGAACGGG
This 253-nucleotide ribosomal RNA is filed under the name uncultured bacterium. Its description in RNAcentral is "partial 16S ribosomal RNA". It matches the Rfam family "Bacterial small subunit ribosomal RNA", at positions 524 to 776 of the family's 1533-position model. The record is from RNAcentral.